UGGGGAAUAUUGGACAAUGGGGGCAACCCUGAUCCAGCCAUGCCGCGUGAGUGAUGAAGGCCUUAGGGUUGUAAAGCUCUUUCACCCGUGACGAUGAUGACGGUAACGGGAGAAGAAGCCCCGGCUAACUCCGUGCCAGCAGCCGCGGUAAUACGGAGGGGGCAAGCGUUGUCCGGACUUACUGGGCGUAAAGCGCACGCAGGUGGUAGCGCAAGUGGGGUGUGAAAGCCGCCAGCUCAACUGGCGGAGGCCAUCCCAAACUGCGUCACUUGAGGCCUGUAGAGGUAUGUGGAAUUGCCGGUGUAGUGGUGAAAUGCGUAGAGAUCGGCAGGAACACCCAGGGGGAAACCAGCAUACUGGACAGGUCCUGACACUCAGGUGCGACAGCGUGGGGAGCGAACCGGAUAAGAUACCCGUGUAGUCC
Molecule: ribosomal RNA, 424 nt
Filed under: uncultured prokaryote
Description: bacterial SSU rRNA
Rfam family: Bacterial small subunit ribosomal RNA
Source: RNAcentral